This is a long non-coding RNA of Nyctereutes procyonoides (raccoon dog), 347 nucleotides long. RefSeq lists it as uncharacterized. The record is from RefSeq and is a predicted model, not a curated record. Lineage: Eukaryota; Metazoa; Chordata; Mammalia; Carnivora; Canidae. The transcript has 2 exons.
GAGACAUUGCAACAGCUCCCGCAGAACGUUGAGGCCGACAGGCGAAAACUGCAUAAAAUGGAAAAUCGUCAUUAUCAACAUCGGGAGCCUGAUGUGGGACUCGAUCUUGGUCUCCAGGACCAGCCCCUGGGCUGAAGGCAGCACUAAACCAUUGAGUCACCCAGGGAUCCCAAGAUCCUUUAAGUUUUUAAUUAAAAGUGGAGGCUAAAAUGAGUCCGCCCAGGGAGCAGAGGUACCAACUGGACAGCCACCAAAGGAAAGAAAUAGGUCGGAAAACAGGGCUGUGUGUGAAACUCCAGUUUCCAAAGUUACUUUGAAAAAGAAAUGAAUUGCACUUAUUAUUAUUA